AGCGCUUAUAAAUAUAUCUGACUGCACAGAACAGAGCUGUUUCUGAUGGACACAAGUUCUGCUGUAUAGAUCCUCUGAGACUGGAUUUUACACUUUUCUGAUUCGGAUUUAACGGAUUCAGAUUAUAUUGUCCAAGGAAGGUAUUCAAGAGGAUCAUUCUGGCUAGAAGGUCAUGAUCCUCUUGCUGUAAACCUUAAAAUACCUCAGACCAAGACAAACAUCCCCGAGAUGGAGACAGAAACUAACAAUUGGAAUUUGCAUUAAGUCAGGUCCCAGACGAAAGAUCAUCUUUAAGGAGACAUGACUAAAUGACUAAAGGAGUGAUCUGCAGAUGAAAGACAAGAAGAGAAUGACAGAGAAAAAAGACAAGUCAAAACCUAAAGAAAACACUUUCAUAAGAGUCCUUUGGAAAAGAAUGACUGACAUAAAAUCAAACAGAAAUCUUGCCGCGCAUGCGCACAGAUGCAGCAGCUACAGACUGAUUUACCAGAAAUCACGUGAUCUCUCACACAGAUCAGCCUGAUGUACGAGAAUAAUGCACUUACUGACUGACAUUCAGUUUAAGUGAACACAAUGAUUCUUGACUCAUGGGACAACACAUGUCCAGCAAUUCUACAAUCCU
Carassius auratus (goldfish) is the source of this 622-nucleotide long non-coding RNA. RefSeq lists it as uncharacterized. NCBI's taxonomy places the organism in Eukaryota, Metazoa, Chordata, Actinopteri, Cypriniformes, Cyprinidae. The record is from RefSeq and is a predicted model, not a curated record. The transcript has 3 exons.